Dreissena polymorpha is the source of this 808-nucleotide long non-coding RNA. RefSeq lists it as uncharacterized. The record is from RefSeq and is a predicted model, not a curated record. Lineage: Eukaryota; Metazoa; Mollusca; Bivalvia; Myida; Dreissenidae. The transcript is spliced from 4 exons.
UUAACACUUGUAACUAAACAAAUUAUUCAGUCAUGAACGAUAACAUUUGAUGUUUUUUUUCCUCAAAAACCGGAAGUAAACGAUCAACUCUAAACAGUCACAAUCAAUGGAACGCUCGCGCACAUUUUUUCGAUGACGCGAAUACUUCGUCUGCGGACAUGUUGAUCCAUGAGAAAGUCACGAUUAUUUUUCUAAUCCAUUGUCAAAGAAAAGUGUGCACAGACAGGUGAUUGGAGGCGGGCUACAGUGCAAAAGGAACCUCUCACCCAAACGUCACGUCAUUGGCGUCCACAGCCUGUUCGUAUUCUACAGUCCGAGGCGUGCGGGGACAGGCGAUUGGAGACAGGACCUCUUGCCCAGUCAUCACGUUCCUGUCGUCCACGUCGCUGCUGUUGAUUUCUGGUAGAAGUAGACUUCCUGAUCUUGUAUUCCACGGUCCCAGGAUAUGGGUCCAAAAAAGAGACCUUCACUUGUGAGCAGCCCUGCCCAAUCAGAGGCAAAGAAAAUUUCAAAGAAAUAUCUCGGAAACCGAAUGAGUCCUGGGAAAAAACAGCGAGUGAGAAGGUCAAACAAAAGAAAAACCUUGUAAACUAGGCCGAGUUCCUUUAUGGUUGCGGUCUGUUGAAAAACAUGGCUUUAAAUGGCUUUAUAGUGUAACCUUGUUUACACUCUACUAAGAAAUUACCAAUGUACAAGUUGAAUGAAAUUUAUGCAUAUUAUGAUAUUCAUGUUCUCCAUGCAGUUAUCUGAAUAUGUAUUCUGCCGAUAAGAUAUACAGUUAAAUUGCCAAAAUAAAUUUUAUUUAGUU